RNAcentral lists this ribosomal RNA (447 nucleotides) under uncultured bacterium. RNAcentral describes it as "bacterial SSU rRNA". It matches the Rfam family "Bacterial small subunit ribosomal RNA", at positions 355 to 825 of the family's 1533-position model. The record is from RNAcentral.
UCGGGAAUUUUGGGCAAUGGGCGAAAGCCUGACCCAGCAACGCCGCGUGAAGGAUGAAGUAUUUCGGUAUGUAAACUUCGAAAGAAUAGGAAGAAUAAAUGACGGUACUAUUUAUAAGGUCCGGCUAACUACGUGCCAGCAGCCGCGGUAAUACGUAGGGACCAAGCGUUGUUCGGAUUUACUGGGCGUAAAGGGCGCGUAGGCGGCAUGACAAGUCACUUGUGAAAUCUCUGGGCUUAACCCAGAACGGCCAAGUGAUACUGUCGCGCUAGAGUGCAGAAGGGGCAAUCGGAAUUCUUGGUGUAGCGGUGAAAUGCGUAGAUAUCAAGAGGAACACCUGAGGCGAAGGCGGCCACCUGGUUGGAUACUGACGCUGAGACGCGAAAGCGUGGGGAGCAAACAGGAUUAGAUACCCACGUAGUCCCUGAGCGGGCUGGCAAGGCGCAU